Naganishia vaughanmartiniae is the source of this 102-nucleotide non-coding RNA. The record is from the annotation of a GenBank genome assembly. NCBI's taxonomy places the organism in Eukaryota, Fungi, Basidiomycota, Tremellomycetes, Filobasidiales, Filobasidiaceae.
GUCUGCUUAGCUCAGUGGGAGAGCGACGGUCUGAAGUGUAGUGCUCAAUAAGCACUGUUGCAAGGAUACCGCAGGUCGGGUGUUCAAUCCACCCAGCGGACA